UACGUAGGGGGCGAGCGUUGUCCGGAUUUAUUGGGCGUAAAGAGCGUGUAGGCGGCCAGGUAGGUCUGCUGUGAAAACUCGAGGCUCAACCUCGAGACGUCGGCGGAAACCAUCUGGCUAGAGUCCGGAAGAGGAGAGUGGAAUUCCUGGUGUAGCGGUGAAAUGCGCAGAUAUCUGGAGGAACACCGGUGGCGAAAGCGCGAGACUGGGCCAUAACUGACGCUGAGGAACGAAAGCCAGGGGAGCGAAAGGG
This 253-nucleotide ribosomal RNA is filed under the name uncultured bacterium. RNAcentral's name for it is "partial 16S ribosomal RNA". It matches the Rfam family "Bacterial small subunit ribosomal RNA", at positions 524 to 776 of the family's 1533-position model. The record is from RNAcentral.